AUUGAACGCUGGCGGCAUGCCUUACACAUGCAAGUCGAACGGCAGCACGGGAGCUUGCUCCUGGUGGCGAGUGGCGAACGGGUGAGUAAUACCUCGGAACGUACCCAGUAGUGGGGGAUAACGCACCGAAAGGUUCGCUAAUACCGCAUACGACCUACGGGUGAAAGCGGGGGACCGUAAGGCCUCGCGCUAUUGGAGCGGCCGAUGUCUGAUCAGCUAGUUGGCGGGGUAAAAGCCCACCACGGCGACGAUCAGUAGCUGGUCUGAGAGGACGGUCAGCCACACUGGGACUGAGACGCGGCCCAGACGACUACGGGAGGCAGCAGUGGGGGAUUUUGGGCAAUGGGGGCAACCCUGAUCCAGCAAUGCCGCGUGUGCGAAGAAGGGCUUCGGGUUGUAAAGCACUUUUGUCAGGGAAGAAAUCUUUCAGGCUAAUACCCUUGGAAGGAUGACGGUACCUGAAGAAUAAGCACCGGCUAACUACGUGCCAGCCGCCGCAGUAA
RNAcentral lists this ribosomal RNA (503 nucleotides) under uncultured bacterium. RNAcentral's name for it is "partial 16S ribosomal RNA". It matches the Rfam family "Bacterial small subunit ribosomal RNA", at positions 29 to 523 of the family's 1533-position model. The record is from RNAcentral.